This 448-nucleotide ribosomal RNA is filed under the name uncultured bacterium. RNAcentral describes it as "bacterial SSU rRNA". It matches the Rfam family "Bacterial small subunit ribosomal RNA", at positions 329 to 793 of the family's 1533-position model. The record is from RNAcentral.
UGCCAGACUCCUACGGGAGGCAGCAGUGGGGAAUAUUGCACAAUGGGGGAAACCCUGAUGCAGCGACGCCGCGUGAGCGAUGAAGUAUUUCGGUAUGUAAAGCUCUAUCAGCAGGGAAGAAAAUGACGGUACCUGACUAAGAAGCCCCGGCUAACUACGUGCCAGCAGCCGCGGUAAUACGUAGGGGGCAAGCGUUAUCCGGAUUUACUGGGUGUAAAGGGAGCGUAGACGGCUGUGCAAGCCAGAUGUGAAAGCCCGGGGCUCAACCCCGGGACUGCAUUUGGAACUGUGUAGCUGGAGUGUCGGAGAGGCAGGCGGAAUUCCUAGUGUAGCGGUGAAAUGCGUAGAUAUUAGGAGGAACACCAGUGGCGAAGGCGGCCUGCUGGACGAUGACUGACGUUGAGGCUCGAAAGCGUGGGGAGCAAACAGGAUUAGAUACCCGUGUAUG